This 492-nucleotide ribosomal RNA is filed under the name uncultured bacterium. RNAcentral describes it as "partial 16S ribosomal RNA". It matches the Rfam family "Bacterial small subunit ribosomal RNA", at positions 29 to 507 of the family's 1533-position model. The record is from RNAcentral.
AGUGAACGCUGGCGGUGGGCCUAACACAUGCAAGUCGAACGGCAGCACAGUAAGAGCUUGCUCUUACGGGUGGCGAGUGGCGGACGGGUGAGGAAUACAUCGGAAUCUACUUUUUCGUGGGGGAUAACGUAGGGAAACUUACGCUAAUACCGCAUACGACCUACGGGUGAAAGCAGGGGAUCUUCGGACCUUGCGCGAUUGAAUGAGCCGAUGUCGGGUUAGCUAGUUGGCGGGGUAAAGGCCCACCAAGGCGACGAUCCGUAGCUGGUCUGAGAGGAUGAUCAGCCACACUGGAACUGAGACACGGUCCAGACUCCUACGGGAGGCAGCAGUGGGGAAUAUUGGACAAUGGGCGCAAGCCUGAUCCAGCCAUACCGCGUGGGUGAAGAAGGCCUUCGGGUUGUAAAGCCCUUUUGUUGGGAAAGAAAAGCAGCAGGUUAAUACCCCGCUGUUCUGACGGUACCCAAAGAAUAAGCACCGGCUAACUUCGUG